This 310-nucleotide unclassified non-coding RNA is filed under the name uncultured Entrophospora. RNAcentral describes it as "uncultured Claroideoglomus sequence contains ITS2". The stretch from base 1 to 52 matches the Rfam family "5.8S ribosomal RNA", at positions 103 to 154 of the family's 154-position model. Lineage: Eukaryota; Fungi; Glomeromycota; Glomeromycetes; Entrophosporales; Entrophosporaceae. The record is from RNAcentral.
AACGCAUAUUGCACUCUCUGGUAAUCCGGAGAGUAUGCCUGUUUGAGGGUCAGUAAAUAAUAAUUAUCAUGAAUCUUUGAUUUAUGGAAUUGGGCUUUUAUUUCGUUAGAUCUAUGGCCUUAAAUUUACGUUAUGGGCUUGUCAUAUAAAAUCCAAUCUAAAGGAGCAAUUAAACAUUCUCAUUGGCGCGGAUUUUUACAAGCUGUUAUGAUCUUUGGUUGCUUUCAGCAUUUUUACGAGUGCAAAACCAAGAUUGUAAGUUUACUCUAACAAUGACCUCAAAUCAGGCAAGAAUACCCGCUGAACUUAA